UAGGGAAUCUUCGGCAAUGGACGAAAGUCUGACCGAGCAACGCCGCGUGAGUGAAGAAGGUUUUCGGAUCGUAAAACUCUGUUGUUAGAGAAGAACAAGGACGUUAGUAACUGAACGUCCCCUGACGGUAUCUAACCAGAAAGCCACGGCUAACUACGUGCCAGCAGCCGCGGUAAUACGUAGGUGGCAAGCGUUGUCCGGAUUUAUUGGGCGUAAAGCGAGCGCAGGCGGUUUCUUAAGUCUGAUGUGAAAGCCCCCGGCUCAACCGGGGAGGGUCAUUGGAAACUGGGAGACUUGACUGCAGAAGAGGAGAGUGGAAUUCCAUGUGUAGCGGUGAAAUGCGUAGAUAUAUGGAGGAACACCAGUGGCGAAGGCGGCUCUCUGGUCUGUAACUGACGCUGAGGCUCGAAAGCGUGGGGAGCAAACAGG
RNAcentral lists this ribosomal RNA (429 nucleotides) under Gemmatimonadota bacterium. RNAcentral describes it as "Gemmatimonadetes bacterium partial 16S ribosomal RNA". It matches the Rfam family "Bacterial small subunit ribosomal RNA", at positions 355 to 776 of the family's 1533-position model. Lineage: Bacteria; Pseudomonadati; Gemmatimonadota. The record is from RNAcentral.